Molecule: non-coding RNA, 278 nt
Organism: Paramuricea clavata
Lineage: Eukaryota; Metazoa; Cnidaria; Anthozoa; Malacalcyonacea; Plexauridae
Source: the annotation of a GenBank genome assembly
GAAUGAUUGUUACUUACGUUGGCCCACCUUUAAAACCCUUUCCAGUAUGUAAACUUAGACUGUAGCCAAACAGUGAACCAUCCUCGCCUUCUUUAAUGACAUGGUUGUUUGUUUUCACAUCGAUGUUAUAAGCUGAACAACAUGCCAGGAACGAAAAUAAGACGAGUGCCUUGCUACCAGACAUUCGUAUACUUUCAAAAACAGUGAAAAAUACACCAGAAAAGUAAAUUUUAACAAUUUUGGCACAACUUGUAUCUUUUAAUAAGAUGUGAUCGAGU